UUUCAGAUCCUUGGUGAUUUCUCUGAUGUCUUUAAUCGAAAUGCUGCCAUCUUAAUCGAUCAAAUCGUCAAUCGGGUGGUGGACAACAAGGAAAUUGACAUUUUACCAUCGAUUUCACGCUGCACAAUGGAUAUCAUAUCAAGUAGCUAUAAAAUAAUUUUGCGAUGUAGAUAAAAUCAAGUGCUUGCUGGAAUUAGUGUCUUCAGAUGCGAAUGUUCAAAUACGUUUCCGCCCAGUACUUACGAUUAGCGUAUGUCAAUCCAAAGAGAAUGACACUAAUGUAACAGAGGAAAAAGUACACAUUCGUAUUCGCUUGUAGUUAAAUUAAAGUCGCAAACACUGCUUUGUUUUAGUAAAUGCAUUUGAAAAAAAACAGUAGAAGUUCUUUCGUAUAAACUUAAGGUCCCACCGAGAUUUGAACUCGGAUUGCCAGAUUCAGAGUCUGGAGUGCUAACCAUUACACCAUGGGACCGAUGUCAAAGAGCAUUGAUCUUGAUGUCUCAUAUCAGUGGUGUUGUCGUAACAAGCAAAGUCCUCAUUGCUGUCAUACCAAACACCCAAACAGAAGCUGCGAUGGGCAUUAAAAUAACACACAGAUUGAUUCAGACUCUGAGUAUAUUAAAGCAGUUGAUCGGAAAGUUUUUGAUAACUAAUAUUGAUCUUGCAAAAGAUAGCUUCGACUUGACUGGAAUAUGCAGGAAUGAACAUUAAAUCUCCCUAUAUCUUUAAUGCAAAAAGAAAGUUUAGUUAAAUACAAAUUUGACAGCUUA
Daphnia magna is the source of this 770-nucleotide long non-coding RNA. RefSeq lists it as uncharacterized. The transcript is spliced from 2 exons. The record is from RefSeq and is a predicted model, not a curated record. NCBI's taxonomy places the organism in Eukaryota, Metazoa, Arthropoda, Branchiopoda, Diplostraca, Daphniidae.